AGUUGCUCAUUCACCUCUUUAUGAUAGUCCCGCUGUAAAGCGGAAUAUGCACUUCAUAAGCCACCGAAUGAUGCCUAAGACUGGUACCUAUCGUCCACCCAAACCGAUAUCGUGCGAAUGCACCUAUCAAACAUCGGACGACACGUUGAGUGAGGUGCCGCCUA
RNAcentral lists this small RNA (164 nucleotides) under Yersinia enterocolitica (type O:5) str. YE53/03. It matches the Rfam family "Glm Y RNA activator of glmS mRNA". From Rfam's summary of the family: This family consists of a number of bacterial RNA genes of around 167 bases in length. The function of this RNA is unknown. The record is from RNAcentral. Lineage: Bacteria; Pseudomonadati; Pseudomonadota; Gammaproteobacteria; Enterobacterales; Yersiniaceae.